This 446-nucleotide ribosomal RNA is filed under the name uncultured bacterium. RNAcentral describes it as "partial 16S ribosomal RNA". It matches the Rfam family "Bacterial small subunit ribosomal RNA", at positions 338 to 795 of the family's 1533-position model. The record is from RNAcentral.
CCUACGGGUGGCAGCAGUCGAGAAUCAUUCACAAUGGGGGAAACCCUGAUGGUGCGACGCCGCGUGGGGGAAUGAAGGUCUUCGGAUUGUAAACCCCUGUCAUGUGGGAGCAAAUUAAAAAGAUAGUACCACAAGAGGAAGAGACGGCUAACUCUGUGCCAGCAGCCGCGGUAAUACAGAGGUCUCAAGCGUUGUUCGGAAUCACUGGGCGUAAAGCGUGCGUAGGCUGUUUCGUAAGUCGUGGGUGAAGGGCGCGGGCGCAACCCGCGGACGGCACAUGAUACUGCGAGACUAGAGUAAGGGAGGGGGAACCGGAAUUCUCGGUGUAGCAGUGAAAUGCGUAGAUAUCACGCAGAACUCCGAUUGCGAAGGCGGCAUACCGGCGCCCGACUGACGCUGAGGCACGAAAGCGUGGGGAUCGAACAGGAUUAGAUACCCCUGUAGUC